UCGACUAGGACACUCCCCCUGUCCACAGCACCCCAAAUCCCCCGUUAAGCCAUCUCUCGACUAGGACACUCCCCCUGUCCACAGCACCCCAAAUCCCCGUUAAGCCAUCUCUCGACUAGGACACUCCCCCUGUCCACAGCACCCCAAAUCCCCCGUUAAGCCAUCUCUCGACUAGGACACUCCCCCUGUCCACAGCACCCCAAACCCCCCGUUAAGCCAUCUCUCGACUAGGACACUCCCCCUGUCCACAGCACCCGAAACCCCCCGUUAAAGCCAUCUCUCGACUAGGUCUCACCAUCCAUGCCCAUAAGUCUACCCAAUACCACUGCCUAUCUAUCUACAGUUAGUCCGUCAUCACCCCUGAUUGGUUUCAUUAGAUCUGCGUUCUAUAUCAUCACGAGUGGUAUCAUCUUCAACGUAAUUAAUCAUUGUCAUCAGAAAUGUUUUAUGAUGCAAAUGCAAGGGGCAACAACAUCAACAAUUGCAUAUAUGGAGUGUUUUAGCGCCACCUAGAGGCUGUAGUGGUGUACUACAGAUCGAAAGAGAGCGAAGCCACAACUACAGGACAUUAUAAUAUAUUAUUUUAUUAUUUGUUUCUAUUAUAUAAUUUUAGCGUGCUAUUUUAUUUUGAUAGCAUUUACAGAGACUAAGAUAAAUUAACCACGAGAGAAAUGAUUUUCCUCCUGCUUGCUUGGCCUGGAUUUUAAACUCUCCUUAAAGUCUUUCUGAUACAGUAUUUUAUAGUUGUUAUAGAUGUCUGGGGGACAGUAAUUAUACUGUUAUAUAAAGUUUAUAUACUGUAAGUAUAUUCACUAUUAUAUAUAUAUAUAUAAUGACUAGUGAUCUAUGUCUCUACAGAUCUCUACUGGUGCCUUCAUGUCUCUAGCCAAGCCGGUGUUUACUAAAUAAAGUAUUGAGUGUGCGUCCGCACCGUUUUCCUUAUAUUAUAUGCAUUCGUUUUGCAGGGACGCAGCCAUUGUCACAUAACUCAACGGAUACAUCUAUAAGCAGCAAAGACUCAAUGACUUUGAUUCCAGUAAAAUACUAAAACGCGGUCGGUGAAUUGAAGGAGUGAAUCAAUGUCGUAACAAAGUGCCUCAUAGUCAAUUUUCCUUUAGAAACACUACGUUCCUUUAGAAACUACGACUAAGCCAUGUAGUAUCUAGAGUGUAUUGGUACCCCUUGCAUUAUGGGUAAUGUAGUACUACAUACACUAUGCUACACAACACAGAGAUGUCCUGUCAGAACUAGCGAGGUGGCCCUUGUCUACUAGUCUCUAAUGCUAAUCCAUAGCGAGGUGGCCCUUGUCUACUAGUCUCUGAUGCUAAUCCAUAGCGAGGUGGCCCUUGUCUACUAGUCUCUGAUGCUAAUCCAUAGCGAGGUGGCCCUUGUCUACUAGUCUCUGAUGCUAAUCCAUAGCGAGGUGGCCCUUGUCUACUAGUCUCUGAUGCUAAUCCAUAGCGAGGUGGCCCUUGUCUACUAGUCUCUGAUGCUAAUCCAUAGCGAGGUGGCCCUUGUCUACUAGUCUCUGAUGCUAAUCCAUAGCGAGGUGGCCCUUGUCUACUAGUCUCUGAUGCUAAUCCAUAGCGAGGUGGCCCUUGUCUACUAGUCUCUGAUGCUAAUCCAUAGCGAGGUGGCCCUUGUCUACUAGUCUCUGAUGCUAAUCCAUAGCGAGGUGGCCCUUGUCUACUAGUCUCUGAUGCUAAUCCAUAGCGAGGUGGCCCUUGUCUACUAGUCUCUGAUGCUAAUCCAUAGCGAGGUGGCCCUUGUCUACUAGUCUCUGAUGCUAAUCCAUAGCGAGGUGGCCCUUGUCUACUAGUCUCUGAUGCUAAUCCAUAGCGAGGUUGGCCCUUGUCCACUAGUCUCUAAUGCUAAUCCAUAGCGAGGUGGCCCUUGUCUACUAGUCUCUGAUGCUAAUCCAUAGCGAGGUGGCCCUUGUCUACUAGUCUCUGAUGCUAAUCCAUAGCGAGGUGGCCCUUGUCUACUAGUCUCUGAUGCUAAUCCAUAGCGAGGUGGCCCUUGUCCACUAGUCUCUAAUGCUAAUCCAUAGCGAGGUGGCCCUUGUCUACUAGUCUCUGAUGCUAAUCCAUAGCGAGGUGGCCCUUGUCUACUAGUCUCUGAUGCUAAUCCAUAGCGAGGUGGCCCUUGUCUACUAGUCUCUGAUGCUAAUCCAUAGCGAGGUGGCCCUUGUCCACUAGUCUCUAAUGCUAAUCCAUAGCGAGGUGGCCCUUGUCUACUAGUCUCUGAUGCUAAUCCAUAACGAGGUGGCCCUUGUCUACUAGUCUCUGAUGCUAAUCAAUAGCGAUGUGGCCCUUGUCUACUAGCCUCAUGCUAAUCCAUAGCAGACAGUACAGAUCAAUGUUGUAUCACUGUGAUCAUCCCCAUUUCAACUCCUCAUGUGUUUCAGUAAGUCAAACCUCUGAUAUAAGAUACAAUGAACAGACACGUAACAUCUAAGAAUCUUGUCUGCACUUCUCUCUCCUCCCCCCUCAUCCCUCCCUUCCCUCAUCCUUUCUUCCUCCCUCCCUCCCUCCCUUCCCUCCUUCAUUCCUUCCCUCCCUCCCUUCCUCCGUUCCCUCCUCCAUUCCUCCCCCUCAUCCCUCCCUUCCCUCAUCCUUUCUUCCUCCCUCCCUCCCUUCCCUCCUUCAUUCCUUCCCUCCCUCCCUUCCUCCCUUCCCUCCUCCAUUCCUCCCCCCUCAUCCCUCCCUUCUCUCCUCCCUUCCUCCCUCCCUCCCUUCCCUCCUUCAUUCCUUCCCUCCCUCCCUUCCUCCCUUCCCUCCUCCAUUCCUCCCCCUCAUCCCUCCCUUCCCUCCUCCAUUCCUCUCCCCCUUCCUCCCUUCCCUCCUCCAUUCCUCCCCCUCAUCCCUCCCUUCUCUCCUCCCUUCCUCCCUCAGGCUCUGGUGACUUGCCUGUUGCUAAAUAUGAAUUAUUAUACACUAUUGGUUCAUCUGAAAUGGCACCCUAUUCCCUAUAUGGGCCCUGGUCAAAAAGUAGUGCACUACGUAGGGAAUAGGGUUUAAUUUGAGACGCAGACUAUGUUGUUGAGUUUUUAGGAUACUGACUGACUACAAGGGCAUUUUGAUACUGGUCUUCUAUGCAUUUUGUAAGACUCGCUUAUUUAGUUAUUUGCUGUAGGAGUUUUGUUUCACCACGCUAUAGCUAUAAACAGGGCACUCUGACGGUGUGCUUUAGUUCAGUUAGUAGACAGAGUAACAAGAGUUUUGGUAAAUGUACAGAUUAAAAAUGUGUGCCGGGACUUUGGUACAUACACACUUAUGCAUCCAAUAUUUACCUCGUCCUCUCCUGAGCAAUAAAAAAGCCAUUGUUUCUCACGUCUGCUGGAGUUAUGCAACAUGUAGCUUCACAUUGAGCUCAAUGAGGUAAAAUAAAAAACCUGGGUCGUGUUCAUUAUGCACCAAACGGAAGAAAACGGUCUGAAACGGGGCAGGGACUAUACCUGAAACGCUAAUUUUCGUUUUUGUUUGUUUUGUGUUUUGCGAAACAUUUUAAAACGUUGCGUGGCCUAAUGAAUGUAACCGUGCUAGAAGGUAAAGCAUGGAUUGAGGUAUAUGUGAUAUUUGGGCUGGAGUUAUCUUUAAACCAGCCUUUGACUAAAAAAAAAAAAAUGGCAAUGAAUGAACUACUGUAGUUGAUAAAGUAUUACAUUGUAUUUGAUUAUAAAGGGUUUUAGAGAAUGACCAUUUUAACGUGCUUGUCUGCGCUGACAGGCGGGAGCGAAGAGACACCAUUUUGUCACUGGAAGAUUUGAAGCAAAGCAAGCUAAUCUACUUCUGAUAGGUCAAAACACCACUCCAAACUAUAGACGGUGUUUGUAGCAUUACAUUCUGAUAGGUCAAAACACCACUCCAAACUAUAGACGGUGUUUGUAGCAUUACAUUCUGAUUGGUCAAAACACCACUCCAAACUAUAGACGGUGUUUGUAGCAUUACAUUCUGAUUGGUCAAAACACCACUCCAAACUAUAGACGGUGUUUGUAGCAUUACAUUCUGAUAGGUCAAAACACCACUCCAAACUAUAGACGGUGUUUGUAGCAUUACAUUCUGAUAGGUCAAAACACCACUCCAAACUAUAGACGGUGUUUGUAGCAUUACAUUCUGAUAGGUCAAAACACCACUCCAAACUAUAGACGGUGUUUGUAGCAUUACAUUCUGAUAGGUCAAAACACCACUCCAAACUAUAGACGGUGUUUGUAGCAUUACAUUCUGAUAGGUCAAAACACCACUCCAAACUAUAGACGGUGUUUGUAGCAUUACAUUCUGAUAGGUCAAAACACCACUCCAAACUAUGGACGGUGUAUGUAGCAUUACAUUCUGAUAGGUCAAAACACCAUAGAGCAAACACAAUACUGUAUGUAGCACACAGGCAUUUUCAGAGGGACAUUUUGCAUGCAGAACACCAUACUCCAAACCACAAAGGGUUUGUCUCUCUCUCUCUCUCUCUCUCUCUCUCUCUCUCUCUCUCUCUCUCUCUCUCUCUUUCUCUCUC
This is a long non-coding RNA of Oncorhynchus keta (chum salmon), 4506 nucleotides long. RefSeq lists it as uncharacterized. The transcript is spliced from 6 exons. Lineage: Eukaryota; Metazoa; Chordata; Actinopteri; Salmoniformes; Salmonidae. The record is from RefSeq and is a predicted model, not a curated record.